This 347-nucleotide ribosomal RNA is filed under the name Gammarus nekkensis. Its description in RNAcentral is "partial large subunit ribosomal RNA". It matches the Rfam family "Bacterial large subunit ribosomal RNA", at positions 1935 to 2533 of the family's 2925-position model. Lineage: Eukaryota; Metazoa; Arthropoda; Malacostraca; Amphipoda; Gammaridae. The record is from RNAcentral.
GGGUAAAUUGGCUGUGCUAAGGUAGCAUAAUCAUUUGUUAUUUAAUUGGUAGCUGGAAUGAAAGGUUAAACUAGCUUACUUGGUUUGUAAAGCUACAUAGGAAAUUUAAGUUAAGGUAAUAAUUCCUUAAUUUUCUAGGGGACGAUAAGACCCUAGAAGCUUGAUAAAUGAGUAUUUUUUUAGUGGCGAGUCGAAAUUUAUUUUACUGGGGCGGUGUUAGUAUUUAAACUACUAGUUAGACAGGCAGAUCUUUUAUAUAAAGAAAAAGCGGAUAAGUUACUCUAGGGUUAACAGUGUGAUAUACUUGGAGAGGCCUUAUUGAUAAGUAUGAUUACAACCUCGAUGUU